GUCCGUGUGGCGCAACUGGAUAGCGCGUCAGACUUCUAAUCUGAAGGUUGCGGGUUCGAAUCCCGUCAUGGAUA
Molecule: transfer RNA, 74 nt
Filed under: Chloroflexota bacterium
Lineage: Bacteria; Bacillati; Chloroflexota
Description: tRNA-Arg
Rfam family: tRNA
About the family: Transfer RNA (tRNA) molecules are approximately 80 nucleotides in length. Their secondary structure includes four short double-helical elements and three loops (D, anti-codon, and T loops).
Source: RNAcentral